GUAGGUGGCAAGCGUUGUCCGGAAUUAUUGGGCGUAAAGCGCGCGCAGGCGGUCCUUUAAGUCUGAUGUGAAAGCCCACGGCUCAACCGUGGAGGGUCAUUGGAAACUGGGGGACUUGAGUACAGAAGAGGAAAGCGGAAUUCCACGUGUAGCGGUGAAAUGCGUAGAGAUGUGGAGGAACACCAGUGGCGAAGGCGGCUUUCUGGUCUGUAACUGACGCUGAGGCGCGAGAGCGUGGGGAGCAAACAGGAUUAGAUACCCUGGUAGUCCACGCCGUAAACGAUGAGUGCUAAGUGUUAGGGGGUUUCCGCCCCCCUUAGUGCUGCAGCUAACGCAUUAAGCACUCCGCCUGGGAGUACGGCCGCAAGGCUG
RNAcentral lists this ribosomal RNA (372 nucleotides) under uncultured organism. RNAcentral describes it as "partial 16S ribosomal RNA". It matches the Rfam family "Bacterial small subunit ribosomal RNA", at positions 527 to 896 of the family's 1533-position model. The record is from RNAcentral.